GACUCAGUGGUCCAAUGGCAAAGCGUUCGCCCCAGAGCCAAAGGGUCCUGGCUUCGAUCCCCGAUGGAGUCG
This 72-nucleotide transfer RNA is filed under the name Schistosoma japonicum. Its description in RNAcentral is "tRNA-OTHER". The record is from RNAcentral. Lineage: Eukaryota; Metazoa; Platyhelminthes; Trematoda; Strigeidida; Schistosomatidae.